This 1218-nucleotide ribosomal RNA is filed under the name metagenome. RNAcentral describes it as "bacterial SSU rRNA". It matches the Rfam family "Bacterial small subunit ribosomal RNA", at positions 277 to 1520 of the family's 1533-position model. The record is from RNAcentral.
CGAUCGGUAGCCGGACUGAGAGGUUGAACGGCCACAUUGGGACUGAGACACGGCCCAGACUCCUACGGGAGGCAGCAGAGGGGAAUAUUGCACAAUGGGGGAAACCCUGAUGCAGCGACGCCGCGUGGAGGAAGAAGGUCUUCGGAUUGUAAACUCCUGUUGUUGAGGAAGAUAAUGACGGUACUCAACAAGGAAGUGACGGCUAACUACGUGCCAGCAGCCGCGGUAAAACGUAGGUCACAAGCGUUGUCCGGAAUUACUGGGUGUAAAGGGAGCGCAGGCGGGCGAUCAAGUUGGAAGUGAAAUCCAUGGGCUCAACCCAUGAACUGCUUUCAAAACUGAUUGUCUUGAGUAGUGCAGAGGUAGGCGGAAUUCCCGGUGUAGCGGUGGAAUGCGUAAAUAUCGGGAGGAACACCAGUGGCGAAGGCGGCCUACUGGGCACCAACUGACGCUGAGGCUCGAAAGUGUGGGUAGCAAACAGGAUUAGAUACCCUGGUAGUCCACACCGUAAACGAUGAUUACUAGGUGUUGGAGGAUUGACCCUUUCAGUGCCGCAGUUAACACAAUAAGUAAUCCACCUGGGGAGUACGACCGCAAGGUUGAAACUCAAAGGAAUUGACGGGGGCCCGCACAAGCAGUGGAGUAUGUGGUUUAAUUCGACGCAACGCGAAGAACCUUACCAAGUCUUGACAUCCUGCGACGAUGCUAGAAAUAGUAUUUUCCUUCGGGACGCAGAGACAGGUGGUGCAUGGUUGUCGUCAGCUCGUGUCGUGAGAUGUUGGGUUAAGUCCCGCAACGAGCGCAACCCUUAUGGUCAGUUACUACGCAAGAGGACUCUGGCCAGACUGCCGUUGACAAAACGGAGGAAGGUGGGGAUGACGUCAAAUCAUCAUGCCCUUUAUGACUUGGGCUACACACGUACUACAAUGGCGUUAAACAAAGAGAAGCAAGACCGCGAGGUGGAGCAAAACUCAGAAACAACGUCCCAGUUCGGACUGCAGGCUGCAACUCGCCUGCACGAAGUCGGAAUUGCUAGUAAUCGCAGAUCAGCAUGCUGCGGUGAAUACGUUCCCGGGCCUUGUACACACCGCCCGUCACACCAUGAGAGCCGGGGGGACCCGAAGUCGGUAGUCUAACCGCAAGGAGGACGCCGCCGAAGGUAAAACUGGUGAUUGGGGUGAAGUCGUAACAAGGUAGCCGUAGGAGAACCUGCGGCUG